Pipistrellus kuhlii (Kuhl's pipistrelle) is the source of this 416-nucleotide long non-coding RNA. RefSeq lists it as uncharacterized. NCBI's taxonomy places the organism in Eukaryota, Metazoa, Chordata, Mammalia, Chiroptera, Vespertilionidae. The record is from RefSeq and is a predicted model, not a curated record. The transcript is spliced from 3 exons.
UGUAAAUCUUAUAUUAUAGUAAAAUAUUUUUUUGUUAUUCUACUUUGCUUUGUACAGUUUAUUUUACUGUGUUUACUUCAAUUUCCCAAUGUGACAACCAUAUUUAAAAAUUAAAACUAGUGAAAUAUUCUGUUUUGGUCUUCACCAUCUGACAAAUUGAAUGGUAAGAAGUGGAUUAUGCCAGUUUCUUUUCAUUGAUGCAAAUUUGUGUUAUGAUGUCACUGAAUGGAGUAUUUUUAAGUUGGCCCUGAGCAUGCAUAAAACAUCCAUAUCUUAACCUUUUUUACCCCCUUGAAAUUUGAAAUAAAUGCAUUUGUGUUGUCUAAUUAGCUAAAUAAGCAUUGGUGUCUUGCCACAAUGUUUGAAAAUUACUGUACAUGAGAGUCCCAGCAAAGCAGAUGUGUCACUGACUUUGG